CAGCCGCCGCGGUAAUACGUAGGUCCCGAGCGUUGUCCGGAUUUAUUGGGCGUAAAGCGAGCGCAGGCGGUUAGAAAAGUCUGAAGUGAAAGGCAGUGGCUCAACCAUUGUAGGCUUUGGAAACUGUUUAACUUGAGUGCGGAGGGGAGAGUGGAAUUCCAUGUGUAGCGGUGAAAUGCGUAGAUAUAUGGAGGAACACCGGUGGCGAAAGCGGCUCUCUGGUCUGUAACUGACGCUGAGGCUCGAAAGCGUGGGGAGCGAGCAGGAUUAGAUACCCCUGUAGUCCCUGUCUCUUAUACAC
Molecule: ribosomal RNA, 301 nt
Filed under: uncultured bacterium
Lineage: Bacteria
Description: partial 16S ribosomal RNA
Rfam family: Bacterial small subunit ribosomal RNA
Source: RNAcentral